Molecule: long non-coding RNA, 920 nt
Filed under: Malus domestica (apple)
Lineage: Eukaryota; Viridiplantae; Streptophyta; Magnoliopsida; Rosales; Rosaceae
Description: long non-coding RNA (MDOM_LNC015081)
Source: RNAcentral
UUAUUCUCACAGCACAGCCGCUUAUUCUCACAGCAGCUUUUUUUCAAAGCACAGCAAUACCAAACCAGCCCUUAGUGUUAUGACUUCGACCUUAUUGGAAAGCUGAGGAAUCAGUACCUGAUUCCCGUUAAUGUCAUUUCCUGAGCGCCUACUUAAGAGUAAAGGUCAAGUUGUCCUUUUCACAGUUAGGUGGCCUUUUGUACUAAACUUUUCAUGUCAGGCGUUCAACCACCUCUCUAUCAUUUGCUUUAUAAAGUUCUAGCUCACAUAGGUUUAGCUCUCACUAACUUAACCUGAACGCCAGCUGCUUGAUCAAGCAUCACCAAACAUAGCUAGUCUUAUCAUGAUCAAGCAUUGUUACAAGUUGAGGAACAAUCAUGAUCAGGUUAGGUUUUGCCACGUGCUCGGCUUGUGCUUACUUUUUAUGGAUAACCACUUAAACUAGAGACCCUACAAUGAGAAUUGGUUUCUUGUCGGCGAGUAACUAAGAGAGCUUUAUCGAGGUCGAACGAUAGGGGCUUGGGUUGCUAGGUGUUUCAAGGCGAAGGGUAAAGAACAAUACAAGUGGCAACUUAAUUGUCAUUGUCUUACAUGUCUUCAAAAUUUUGCUCUAUUUGUUUGUGGUUGACUGGUUGAGAAAGGUUUCUCUCGCAAAAAGAGAGGCUUUAACUAGCAGCUAUUGUGGAUGCAAAUUUUCUCCUCCUCGAUCUUGGACGAUUUUGCACCUUCAAAACAACUAGCACCUUAGGUUAAGGCCAAAAGCCUCACGUGCCCACGAUGAAUGGGGGGACUUUGGCCGAAGAACCUCCGAUGCCAAAGUUAGAAUUUUAGAGAGAAAUAGUGUUUAGAGUAUUUGGGAUUUUCUGUAAAAGAAUUAGAAUGACUUUUUGGUGAGAAUAGGUGCCUAUUUAUAGGAUUAA